This 466-nucleotide ribosomal RNA is filed under the name Vibrio parahaemolyticus. RNAcentral describes it as "partial 23S ribosomal RNA". It matches the Rfam family "Bacterial large subunit ribosomal RNA", at positions 1046 to 1518 of the family's 2925-position model. The record is from RNAcentral. Lineage: Bacteria; Pseudomonadati; Pseudomonadota; Gammaproteobacteria; Vibrionales; Vibrionaceae.
CCCAAAUUACUACUAAGUGGGAAACGAUGUGGGAAGGCUCAGACAGCCAGGAUGUUGGCUUAGAAGCAGCCAUCAUUUAAAGAAAGCGUAAUAGCUCACUGGUCGAGUCGGCCUGCGCGGAAGAUGUAACGGGGCUAAGUAGUAAACCGAAGCUGCGGCAAUGUGCUUUUGCACAUUGGGUAGGGGAGCGUUCUGUAAGCGGUUGAAGGUGUGUGGUAACGCAUGCUGGACGUAUCAGAAGUGCGAAUGCUGACAUGAGUAACGAUAAAGGGGGUGAAAAACCUCCUCGCCGGAAGACCAAGGGUUCCUGUCCAACGUUAAUCGGGGCAGGGUAAGUCGACCCCUAAGGCGAGGCCGAAAGGCGUAGUCGAUGGGAAACGGGUUAAUAUUCCCGUACUUCUUACAAUUGCGAUGGGGGGACGGAGAAGGCUAGGUGGGCCUGGCGACGGUUGUCCAGGUUCAAGUG